Long non-coding RNA from Mustela erminea (ermine), 120 nucleotides. RefSeq lists it as uncharacterized. NCBI's taxonomy places the organism in Eukaryota, Metazoa, Chordata, Mammalia, Carnivora, Mustelidae. The record is from RefSeq and is a predicted model, not a curated record. The transcript is spliced from 3 exons.
AAAAAGUACAGAAAGGGGACUAAUCAAAAGUAAUACAAUGAUAGCAGGGGAGUUUAACACCCCACUUACAUCAAUGGACAGAUCCUCCAGACAGAAAAUCAACGAGGAAACAGUGGCUUU